RNAcentral lists this long non-coding RNA (253 nucleotides) under Rosa chinensis. Its description in RNAcentral is "sRNA RchiOBHm_Chr5g0046201". Lineage: Eukaryota; Viridiplantae; Streptophyta; Magnoliopsida; Rosales; Rosaceae. The record is from RNAcentral.
CGGUGACCGGAAAACGUUGUGAAUUGGCUAGAACAGUCGACAUUCUCACCGUCAAUUCUUCUUCCUCGUCUGGUGCAUGGACGAUCAGAGGCCACAGGCGUGACGGCGGCGAGGAGACGAAGAGGAUGGUGCCCAUGCGCCAUCGCGGGGUGGCCAGACGUGAAAGUUCCGGUCGGGUUCCUCCUCCGGGUCGGCGACCUCUUUUCGGGUCAGAAGCUUCGAGCUUCUCUCUCGAUCACUCUUACACACCUAG